UGGGGAAUUUUGGACAAUGGGCGCAAGCCUGAUCCAGCAAUGCCGCGUGCAGGAUGAAGGCCUUCGGGUUGUAAACUGCUUUUGUACGGAACGAAAAGGCUCUGGCUAAUACCUGGGGCACAUGACGGUACCGUAAGAAUAAGCACCGGCUAACUACGUGCCAGCAGCCGCGGUAAUACGUAGGGUGCGAGCGUUAAUCGGAAUUACUGGGCGUAAAGCGUGCGCAGGCGGUUUUGUAAGACAGAGGUGAAAUCCCCGGGCUCAACCUGGGAACUGCCUUUGUGACUGCAAGGCUGGAGUGCGGCAGAGGGGGAUGGAAUUCCGCGUGUAGCAGUGAAAUGCGUAGAUAUGCGGAGGAACACCGAUGGCGAAGGCAAUCCCCUGGGCCUGCACUGACGCUCAUGCACGAAAGCGUGGGGAGCAAACAGGAUUAGAUACCCUGGUAGUCCACGCCCUAAACGAUGUCAACUGGUUGUUGGGUCUUAAUUGACUCAGUAACGAAGCUAACGCGUGAAGUUGACCGCCUGGGGAGUACGGCCGCAAGGUUGAAACUCAAAGGGAAUUGACGGGGUCAUAGCU
Molecule: ribosomal RNA, 579 nt
Filed under: uncultured bacterium
Lineage: Bacteria
Description: partial 16S ribosomal RNA
Rfam family: Bacterial small subunit ribosomal RNA
Source: RNAcentral